This 739-nucleotide ribosomal RNA is filed under the name uncultured bacterium. RNAcentral describes it as "bacterial SSU rRNA". It matches the Rfam family "Bacterial small subunit ribosomal RNA", at positions 28 to 772 of the family's 1533-position model. The record is from RNAcentral.
GAUGAACGCUGGCGGCAUGCCUAAUACAUGCAAGUCGAACGGAGCACUUCGGUGCUUAGUGGCGAACGGGUGAGUAACACGUAGGUAACAUACUUAUAAGCCGAGGAUAACGGUUGGAAACGACUGCUAAGACUGGAUAGGAAUAUUGGGGGCAUCCCUGAUAUUUUAAAGGACCACAGGUACACUUAUAAAAUGACCUGCGGCGCAUUAGCUAGUUGGUAAGGUAGCGGCUUACCAAGGCGAUGAUGCGUAGCCGGACUGAGAGGUUGAACGGCCACAUUGGGACUGAGACACGGCCCAGACUCCUACGGGAGGCAGCAGUAGGGAAUUUUCGGCAAUGGGGGGAACCCUGACCGAGCAAUGCCGCGUGAAUGAAGAAAUACUUCGGUAUGUAAAGUUCUUUUAUUUGGGAAGAGCGGCUAGUGGAAAAGCUAGAGUGACGGUACCAAAUGAAUAAGCCCCGGCUAACUAUGUGCCAGCAGCCGCGGUAAUACAUAGGGGGCAAGCGUUAUCCGGAAUUAUUGGGCGUAAAGGGUGCGUAGGCGGUUAGUAAAGUUUAAGGUAUAAGCUCAUGGCUCAACCAUGGGAGGCUUUAGAAACUGGCUAACUUGAGUGCAGUAGAGGCAAGUGGAAUUCCAUGUGUAGCGGUAAAAUGCGUAAAUAUAUGGAGGAACACCAGUAGCGAAGGCGGCUUGCUGGGCUGUAACUGACGCUGAGGCACGAAAGCGUGGGGAGCAAA